RNAcentral lists this ribosomal RNA (200 nucleotides) under uncultured bacterium. RNAcentral describes it as "partial 16S ribosomal RNA". It matches the Rfam family "Bacterial small subunit ribosomal RNA", at positions 8 to 194 of the family's 1533-position model. The record is from RNAcentral.
AGAGUUUGAUCCUGGCUCAGGAUGAACGCUGGCGGCGUGCCUAACACAUGCAAGUCGAACGGAGUUAUUAUUAUGAAGUUUUCGGAUGGAUUAAUAAUAACUUAGUGGCGGACGGGUGAGUAACGCGUGGGUAACCUGCCUCAUACAGGGGGAUAACAGUUGGAAACGGCUGCUAACACCGCAUAACAUUGCGUUGUCGC